AUAUUAUUAAGCGGAGGAAAAGAAACCAACAGGGAUUCCCUUAGUAACGGCGAGUGAAAGGGGAGAAGCUCAAGAUUGAAUCGGGUGACCCUCGCGGGCACUUGAGUUGUAAUCUAUAGGUAACUUGGUUAUACCUCGUGGACUUGGCAUAAACCUUUGAAAAAAGGUAUCAUAGUGGGUGAAAUUCCCAUCUAUGACUGGGAUCUGCGUGUUAUAACCUUGACACCUGAGAGUAGCGAUAGGUUGGAAUACCUGCGCGAAGAUGGGUGAUAAACUUCAUCCAAAGCUAAAUACCUGCCAGAGACCGAUAGCACACAAGUACCGUGAGGGAAAGGUGAAAAGAACUUUGAAAAGAGAGUUAAACAGUAUCUGAAAUUGCUAAGAGGUAAACGGUUGGAAACCAGCCCAAAAUCUGAGGCUAUUUUACUUCCCAUCUGACUUCUUUGUUGUUUGACUCAUUUUCCUUUCAGGAAUUGGGCCGGGUGAUGAAGUUGGCAGAGGGAGGGGUUCUGUAGCUUUAGGUCCGGCAGAAUCAGUCCUUUAUCUUCUCGGAGAAAAACGGAGGAAAGGUGGGAAUCGAGGGGUUUCUUCUCGCUUAUUCACCUUAUAUAUCUCCGUUGUUCUACGGAAAGAAGGACUGAGGGAACGAAAUCUGAUAAGUCA
Molecule: ribosomal RNA, 663 nt
Filed under: uncultured fungus
Lineage: Eukaryota; Fungi
Description: eukaryotic LSU rRNA
Rfam family: Eukaryotic large subunit ribosomal RNA
Source: RNAcentral